AACCCAUUGUAAAUAAGAAUUUGUGAUUAGAAUUAGCCCUUUCUAACUUCAAACUGCUUCCUUCAUACCUCGUACACCAUAACUCUCAAACCCUAAGAUAUUCCAUAUUCGAUCAUUUCCCAUAUCCACUGCGUUAAUUCCUUCAGGUAUUCUUUUUAGGUUUUCUUUCCGCUUGUCACGAAGGAUGGAGGUUUGAAAGAAGAUUGGAGGGGUUUUUUCAGGGAUUCGAUGACUGGGUUUACCCGGCUAAAAGAGAAAAGUUGAACGUGUUGAACUGCUCGUGAUGAGCAGGGGCCAAGACAGAUAGUGCAAAAAAUUGAUGAUGAAGAGUGUGAUAAUAACCAUUGAUGAGAUCGCAAAUGACAAUGUGAAGGUCGUCCAACGUGAUAAGGUGCAAAAGCAAAAUGAAGGCCAAGUCACUUGAGCUUCAAAUCAACUACUACCAUCGAUCUUCUAUAUAGAGUAUAUAGUACAUCCUAGCUAGUUAGUUUUUCUAGGUUUUAGUUAUUCUUGGGUUUGAUUUAUAAUGUUGUUUUGGACUAUUUGGUUAGGAUUUCGGUUAGUGAUAUAGAUCCGUGUAUGUUUGGAUUCUGUUUAGUAAUGUACAUGUACGUACUAAGAAUUUUAACUACUUAAGUUUUUUUUAAGUUAAUUUUAUUGUUAAUUGAAGACCAAUUAUUCAUAA
Molecule: long non-coding RNA, 685 nt
Organism: Spinacia oleracea (spinach)
Lineage: Eukaryota; Viridiplantae; Streptophyta; Magnoliopsida; Caryophyllales; Amaranthaceae
Exons: 5
Source: RefSeq, a predicted model, not a curated record